GGUGAGGUGUCCGAGAGGCUGAAGGAGCACGCCUGGAAAGUGUGUAUACGGCAACGUAUCGAGGGUUCGAACCCCUCUCUCACCACCA
Molecule: transfer RNA, 88 nt
Filed under: Erwinia sp. B116
Lineage: Bacteria; Pseudomonadati; Pseudomonadota; Gammaproteobacteria; Enterobacterales; Erwiniaceae
Also listed under: 2 other names
Description: tRNA-Ser
Rfam family: tRNA
About the family: Transfer RNA (tRNA) molecules are approximately 80 nucleotides in length.
Source: RNAcentral